Thalassophryne amazonica is the source of this 149-nucleotide long non-coding RNA. RefSeq lists it as uncharacterized. The record is from RefSeq and is a predicted model, not a curated record. Lineage: Eukaryota; Metazoa; Chordata; Actinopteri; Batrachoidiformes; Batrachoididae. The transcript has 3 exons.
AGCAUCAGUCAGACCUGUUCCCAGUGCACGUUGGCUUCCGCCAGGGCUGCCCUUUGUCACCGGUUCUGUUCAUUAUUUUUAUGGACAGAAUUUCUAGGCGCAGCCAGGGUGUAGAGGGGGUCUGGUUUGGGAACUACAGAAUCUUGUCU